RNA transcript from Gorilla gorilla gorilla (western lowland gorilla), 9135 nucleotides. It is a transcript of the gene named kinesin family member 15, with no coding region annotated. The record is from RefSeq and is a predicted model, not a curated record. NCBI's taxonomy places the organism in Eukaryota, Metazoa, Chordata, Mammalia, Primates, Hominidae. The transcript is spliced from 36 exons.
AGUCGCGCGCGGUGCAGUCGGGAGGUGGAAGCACCGGCUGCAUUGUUCUCGGGAUCGAGGGGUGAGGGCGCUAUGGCACCCGGCUGCAAAACUGAGUUACGCAGCGUGACAAAUGGUCAGUCUAACCAACCAAGUAAUGAAGGUGAUGCCAUCAAAGUUUUUGUGCGAAUUCGUCCUCCUGCAGAAAGAUCUGGGUCAGCUGAUGGAGAGCAGAACUUAUGCUUAUCUGUGCUGUCCUCCACGAGUCUCCGGCUGCACUCCAACCCUGAGCCCAAGACCUUCACGUUUGAUCAUGUUGCAGAUGUGGAUACCACUCAGGAAUCUGUAUUCGCAACUGUGGCUAAAAGCAUUGUGGAGUCUUGCAUGAGCGGUUAUAAUGGUACCAUCUUUGCAUAUGGACAGACUGGCUCAGGGAAGACAUUUACUAUGAUGGGACCAUCUGAAUCUGAUAAUUUUUCUCAUAACCUGAGAGGAGUAAUCCCACGAAGUUUUGAAUAUUUGUUUUCCUUAAUUGAUCGUGAAAAAGAAAAGGCUGGAGCUGGAAAGAGUUUCCUUUGUAAGUGUUCCUUUAUUGAAAUCUACAACGAGCAGAUAUAUGAUCUACUGGACUCUGCAUCGGCUGGACUGUACUUAAGGGAGCAUAUCAAGAAGGGAGUCUUUGUUGUUGGUGCGGUGGAGCAGGUGGUAACCUCAGCUGCUGAAGCCUAUCAGGUGUUGUCUGGAGGAUGGAGGAAUAGACGUGUGGCAUCAACAUCAAUGAACAGAGAAUCGUCUAGAUCUCAUGCAGUUUUUACAAUUACAAUAGAGUCAAUGGAGAAAAGUAAUGAGAUUGUGAAUAUACGGACCUCCCUACUCAACCUGGUGGAUUUAGCAGGAUCUGAAAGGCAAAAAGAUACCCAUGCAGAAGGGAUGAGAUUGAAGGAAGCAGGUAACAUAAAUCGAUCAUUGAGCUGCCUGGGCCAAGUGAUUACAGCACUUGUCGACGUGGGUAAUGGAAAACAGAGACAUGUUUGCUACAGAGACUCCAAACUUACCUUCUUACUACGGGAUUCCCUUGGAGGUAAUGCCAAAACAGCCAUAAUUGCAAAUGUUCAUCCUGGAUCCAGGUGUUUUGGGGAAACCCUAUCAACACUUAACUUUGCUCAAAGAGCCAAGCUGAUUAAAAACAAGGCAGUAGUAAAUGAAGACACCCAAGGAAAUGUGAGCCAGCUCCAAGCUGAAGUGAAGAGGCUCAAAGAACAACUGGCGGAGCUUGCUUCAGGACAGACACCACCAGAAAGCUUCCUGACCAGAGACAAAAAGAAGACUAACUAUAUGGAGUAUUUCCAGGAAGCAAUGUUAUUCUUUAAGAAAUCUGAACAGGAAAAGAAGUCUCUGAUAGAAAAAGUUACCCAAUUAGAAGACCUCACCCUCAAAAAGGAAAAAUUUAUUCAAUCUAAUAAAAUGAUUGUGAAAUUCCGAGAGGAUCAAAUAAUACGCUUGGAAAAGCUCCACAAGGAAUCCCGGGGAGGUUUUCUGCCUGAGGAGCAGGAUCGUUUGCUCUCAGAAUUAAGGGAUGAGAUUCAAACUCUGCGAGAACAAAUAGAGCACCACCCCAGAGUUGCAAAGUAUGCUAUGGAAAAUCAUUCCCUCAGGGAGGAGAAUAGAAGACUGAGAUUAUUAGAGCCUGUGAAAAGAGCUCAAGAAAUGGAUGCCCAGACCAUUGCAAAACUAGAAAAAGCUUUCUCUGAAAUAAGUGGCAUGGAGAAAAGUGACAAAAAUCAGCAAGGAUUUUCACCUAAAGCUCAGAAAGAGCCAUGUUUGUUUGCAAACACUGAGAAGUUAAAAGCACAACUCCUGCAAAUUCAGACAGAGCUGAAUAAUUCAAAGCAAGAAUAUGAAGAAUUCAAAGAACUUACUAGGAAAAGGCAGCUAGAAUUGGAAUCAGAGCUUCAGUCUUUGCAAAAAGCGAACCUUAAUCUUGAAAACCUUUUGGAAGCAACAAAAGCCUGCAAGCGGCAAGAAGUUUCUCAGCUGAAUAAAAUUCAUGCUGAAACACUUAAGAUUAUAACUACACCAACCAAGGCCUACCAACUUCGUUCCCGACCAGUACCAAAAUUAAGCCCUGAAAUGGGAAGCUUUGGCUCUCUAUACACUCAGAAUUCUAGCAUAUUAGAUAAUGAUAUAUUAAAUGAGCCAGUUCCUCCUGAGAUGAAUGAACAAGCUUUUGAGGCCAUUUCUGAAGAGCUUAGAACAGUGCAGGAACAAAUGAGUGCUCUUCAAGCCAAAUUGGAUGAAGAAGAGCAUAAAAACCUAAAGCUUCAGCAGCAUAUUGACAAACUGGAACAUCAUUCUACCCAAAUGCAGGAGCUUUUCUCAUCAGAAAGAAUUGAUUGGACCAAACAGCAGGAAGAGCUUCUCUCACAGUUGAAUGUCCUUGAAAAGCAGCUUCAAGAGACUCAAACUAAAAAUGACUUUUUGAAAAGUGAGGUACAUGACCUGCGAGUAGUCCUUCAUUCUGCUGACAAGGAGCUUUCUUCAGUGAAAUUGGAAUAUAGUUCAUUCAAAACGAGUCAGGAGAAAGAAUUCAACAAACUUUCCGAAAGACACAUGCAUGUGCAGCUUCAAUUAGAUAAUCUCAGGUUAGAAAACGAAAAGCUGCUUGAGAGCAAAGCCUGCCUACAGGAUUCCUAUGACAACUUACAAGAAAUAAUGAAAUUUGAGAUUGACCAACUUUCAAGAAACCUCCAAAACUUCAAAAAAGAAAAUGAAACUCUGAAAUCUGAUCUGAAUAAUUUGAUGGAGCUUCUUGAGGCAGAAAAAGAACGCAAUAACAAAUUAUCAUUACAGUUUGAAGAAGAUAAAGAAAACAGUUCUAAAGAAAUCUUAAAAGUUCUUGAGGCUGUACGUCAGGAGAAACAGAAAGAGAUGGCCAAGUGUGAGCAGCAGAUGGCAAAAGUACAGAAACUAGAAGAGAGCUUGCUUGCUACUGAAAAAGUGAUCAGUUCCCUGGAAAAGUCUAGAGAUUCUGAUAAGAAAGUUGUAGCUGACCUCAUGAACCAGAUCCAGGAGCUAAGAACAUCGGUCUGUGAGAAAACAGAAACUAUAGACACCCUGAAACAAGAACUGAAGGACAUAAAUUGCAAAUACAACUCUGCUUUGGUUGACAGAGAAGAGAGCAGAGUGUUGAUCAAGAAGCAGGAAGUGGAUAUUCUGGAUCUGAAAGAAACCCUUAGGCUGAGAAUACUUUCUGAGGACAUAGAGAGGGAUAUGCUCUGUGAGGACCUGGCUCAUGCCACUGAGCAGCUGAACAUGCUCACAGAGGCCUCAAAAAAACACUCGGGGCUGCUGCAGUCUGCCCAGGAAGAACUGACCAAGAAGGAAGCCCUGAUUCAGGAACUUCAGCACAAGCUAAACCAAAAGAAAGAGGAAGUAGAACAGAAGAAGAAUGAAUAUAACUUCAAAAUGAGGCAACUAGAACAUGUGAUGGAUUCUGCUGCUGAGGAUCCCCAGAGUCCUAAGACACCACCUCACUUUCAAACACAUUUGGCAAAACUCCUGGAAACACAAGAACAAGAGAUAGAAGAUGGAAGAGCCUCUAAGACUUCUUUGGAACACCUUGUAACAAAGCUAAAUGAAGACAGAGAAGUCAAAAAUGCUGAAAUCCUCAGAAUGAAGGAGCAGUUGUGUGAAAUGGAAAACCUACGCCUGGAAAGUCAGCAGUUAAUAGAGAAAAACUGGCUCCUGCAAGAUCAGCUGGAUGAUAUUAAAAGACAAAAGGAAAACAGUGAUCAGAAUCAUCCAGAUAAUCAACAGCUGAAGAAUGAACAAGAAGAAAGUAUCAAAGAAAGACUUGCAAAAAGUAAAAUAGUUGAAGAAAUGCUGAAAAUGAAAGCAGACCUAGAAGAAGUCCAAAGUGCCCUUUACAACAAAGAGAUGGAAUGCCUUAGAAUGACUGAUGAAGUCGAACGAACCCGAACUUUGGAGUCUAAAGCAUUCCAGGAAAAAGAACAACUGAGAUCAAAGCUGGAAGAAAUGUAUGAAGAAAGGGAGAGAACAUCCCAGGAGAUGGAAAUGUUAAGGAAGCAGGUGGAGUGUCUUGCUGAGGAAAAUGGAAAGUUGGUAGGUCACCAAAAUUUGCAUCAGAAGAUUCAGUACGUAGUGCGACUAAAGAAGGAAAAUGUCAGGCUUGCUGAGGAGACAGAAAAGUUGCGUGCUGAAAAUGUAUUUUUAAAAGAAAAGAAAAGAAGUGAAUCAUGAGGAUUCCGGUCAGCUACCUAGGCAUCACCUUGUUUGAAGAUGUUUCUUCUCUUUUACAAGAAUGGAAUUGCUGAUAUAACUAUGAUACGAUAUGAUAACAUGUACAGAGGAGAGGUCAUUUGAGGACAUAGCAAGAAGGAGAGAAGGCAAGCCAGGAAAAGGGCCCUCAUCAGAACCUGAAUUUGCCAGCACAUUGAUCAUGGACUUCCCAGCCUGCAGAACUGUGAGAAAAUAAAUAUCCGUUGUUUAAGUCAUGCAGUCUGUGGUAUUUGUUAUGGCGGCAUGAGCUGACUGAUACAACCCAAAUGGCCAUCCAUAUUCAUCUAUGGAAUACUACUCUUCAGUAAAAAGGAAGAGAGUAUUGAUACAUGCUAUCACAAGGAGAAUCAUAAAAUAAUUAUGCUAAGUGAAAGAAGCCAGACCCAAAAAGAAUAUAUACCAUAUAGUUCCAUUUAUAUAUAAUUAAAAAGAAAAAAAGUCAAAACUUCAGUGACAGAAGGCAGAUCAGUGGUUGCUUAGGGCUGGGAAUCAGGGCAAGAAGGAACUUUUUAGGAUGAUGGCUCUUUUCUACAUCUUGAUCAUAGUGGUCAUUACACAACUGUAUAAAACUAACAUUCUACACUUAAAGCGGGUGAAUUUUAUUGGAUAUAAAUUAUACCUCAAUAAAGCUAGGGGGAACUCAGUAAGAUGCCAUUGAUGCCAUUUCAUACAAGAUUGGCAAAAGUUACAAAGUUGAACAAGCAAGGCCAAUGUUGUGGAGCACUGUGAAUUCCCAUGUGCUACUGCUGGAAGUAUAAAUUAGUAUAACCCUCUGGAAACAUUUUACUAUCAUCUGACGAAAGAGAAGAUGUGCCUACUGUUUGAGCCAGCAAUUCCAGUCCUGGAAACUCUCACUUGUGCACAAGGAGACAUGAACACACAUGCUUGUUGCAGCAGUGUUUAUAACUGAGAAAAAUGUAAAACAAUCUAAUAUCAAUGGGAGAAUAGAGAAGUUAUAGCAUACAGUGUAUUGAACACUAUACAGUGGUGACAAGCAUGAAUUACAUGGAAAAAUUACAUGAAAAAAUCUCAAAAUCAUAAUGUAGAGUGAAAAAAAGUAGAAGGGAGCGUUAAGUAUGAUAAUUUUACAAAAAAAUUUAAAAUCUUCAAAACAAUACUACUUAUUAUUUUAGAUAUCCACAUGUUUAGUAAGUAUUUUUAAAUAUGCAAGGGAACUUAAAUACCAAACUCAGAGUGGUGGUUACUUUGGGGAGGGAGGAAAGGAAGUUGGGGUUGGGAAGGGAUAUAUAAGGGGCUGAGAGCUUCAGUUAUAACCCAUAAGUUUUAUUUCUUGAACUUGAUGAGGGAGAUGUAAGUUUUCAUUGCUGUUUUUUCUUUGAAUUUUUGUAAGGUUUCAUAAAUGUUUUUAGACAACACUUCACUGAUAAAUGGGAAUGAUCACAUUUAACAAUCAUUAGACAUACAAAUCUUACUGCUGUUGUUUAGCAAGAAAACCCCAAGAUCGUCUUUGCUAGCUGAUGUGUGCUCUGGGCUCUUUGGGCCUGGGUAAGGAAUGGCAGGGCCCAGCCCAGAGUCUGGAGGUGUGGUGAAUCAGAUAGGUUAGGGUGGGAGGUGAGACAGACCAUGUUGGUUCCAGUGGAAUUGGCUCCAGGGCUGGACUGGCCAGAGAAUUAUUACUCCAAAUUCCAGAGCCAUCCAGUUCCUUUGGGAAACAGGGGCUUGGAGGGCUCAGAUUUCCCCCAAAUCCACUCAACUUGUCAUAGAUUGAGCUGAGAUGGGACCCCAGAUAGCCUGGCUGAGAGCCUGUCUUGUCUGUACUGCUUCCGUGUUCCCUUGCUGGUCUUCAAUAGGGUCCCCAAAGUUCUUCUUGCCCGGAGGCCUGCAGCAGUGAGUCCUGACUGUCACCAGCAUGGUCCCUCACAGGGUAACCCCUCACCAGAGUUUAAAAGUCAGUCCCCUAUGCAGUUAGACCUAAUGCUACACCAGGGGGAAAAUUCAAAAGGAAAAAAUACACAAUUUAGGCAACAGGGUUCCUAGCUGCAUUACUGCUAGCAGCAGUUAGUUGCCUGAUAGUCGAGAAAUGGUUAGGCAAAUAUGGUAGAAUAUCACGUGCCCACGAACAGGGGUGAGCAUUUGAAAUAGGCGGAUCCUAGACAGUGUCCACAAGGCAGCCUGCCAGGCAUGGCCUGAAGUGCCAGGUUUGCUCCAUGCAGUGUAAACACAUUUGUGUUCAAUGGCAAGCGCUAGGAGUGGCUUAAAAAGAGGUGACUUCAGGGUUUAUUGGAUUCUUUUAUUUUUCUCCUAUAAAGUUGUUUACAUAUAUAAUAGGAGUCAGAUUAGAGAUGAAUUUAUAGCUUCAGAUAUAAGAAGAAAAGAUUUUGCUCCCACAAAUCUGUGGAUGCGUAUUUACUAACUCCUCCCUGUCUCCACACAAAAAAAGGGGGCAGGGAUGCAUCAGGAUGCCUAUCUUUAUGAUUUAGCUCCGAGCUUAGCACCAUGAACAGCCGCUGUGGUGCCUAGAGUCCGACAGGGCCUCAGUUGUUCUUUCAUCCUCAGAAUUGCGGGGUGGAUGCAGAGGUGGGUCAGGGAUUAGGCUUGAAUCCCCAAAACCAAUGUGUAUUGGGCUUUCCUUCCAAAAGGGACUCCCGGCAUGCGUUGGGAGCAGAGGACACAGCCUCCCCUGACCUCUGCAGGAGGCACCUGCCCCACAGGCACAGGCAUGGGGCCGCUCCCAGACUUCCACCUGAGCACCCUGUCCUGUUUGCUUAUUUGUUCAUUUAUUCAUGCAUUCCCUCAUCUGCUGAGCACUCUGUGCCAUGCUAUGGGCUAGGGACACAAAAUGAGAAGAUUCCAUUCCUGGCUAAGGUCCUCUAUGAACUUCAUCUUGAAACGUGUCUUCUGUUCCCCACCUUACCUGGUGGUUUUCAGGCUCUUCUUGCCUGAUUUUUCCUUUUCUCCCUCCUCCCCAGCUCCAUCAUCUGUGGAUUAAUGUGAAGUGUAGACCAUGCCAACUUUUCUGGGACAGCAGAUUCAGAGCCUCCUGUCCCAUGGUGGGGCCUGUGCCUGGUCCUCUUGGAGAGCAGAGAGCAGAGGGUCUUGAGUGGGCUGCCUCUGAUCCCAAUAUGCCUGGAGUUGGCCACCAGGUGCUAGUGCAAUACGGUGGCUGCAGUUCAGCAGCUGGUGGGGGAGGGGGAUGCUGAUGGCCCCAGUGGCCUGUGACUAGACCAUGGUGUCAGCUGUGGCCCCAGACAGGAAACGUGAGAAAAGAUGAUCCUUUGGGACCAGCUGACAGAUAAAAUGCCACAUGCACAAGGAACUAAAUAAAGGCCAACUCUGCUGAGGCCCGGAAGUUCUGUUGCAGGAAGAGGGAAGGGAGGCUCACGGGGAUCAUCUCCUGAUGCCCAGGUGGCUGCCUCUCUCUAGGCUGCACUUUUUCCAUCUGUGAAAUGAGGUUGUUGGGAUGGGGGGGUCCUUUGUAAGGUCCGCGGUUUAGCUCAUUUCUUGCGGAGAAUUUUGAAUGCCUUUGCCUCUUCACAGCAUCCUGCUUCAGACACUUGACCUGUGGCGUGGGUGUUAUUAUUUCCCACCUCCCAGAUGAAGAAACAGAGGCACAGAGAAGUAACUUCCCAAGGUCACACAGUGGAUCUGUAGAGGACCCAGGAUGUAGGCCCAGUUCUGUCUGACCCAAAGUCUAUUCCUUUUAGACACUUUUAUACUCACUCUGGUACCCUGGAUUCUCUGGCCUGGAAGGCACUGGAGAAAGCUCAUCUUGCACAAGCCCCUCAUUUGUCAAAGAUGAUGAAAGAAGCUCAGAGAGGUGAAGCAACUAAAACCCAGACCCUCUCACCCCUAGGCCAGGACUUUUAUUUAGAGGCUUUUUCCAUUUAAGUAGUGAAUUUAUUCUUAAAUAGGUAAUUCAUGCACAUGGUGCUAAAUUCUGAUGAUGUAAAAGGAAAUACAGAGAAAAUCAAGCAUCCUUCUCCCACUCCUGAGCCUGUAAUCAUAGGGCCUAGGGCUUCUCUGCAGACAGAGCCCAGCCAAGACUUUUCGUAAAUGCCAUGUGCACUUCAGGGCUUGGUUUGUUCUAUUAUAUUUAGGGAUGCGGUGCUGAGAUGCUUGCCUGCAGAACAGCAAAAACCUCUGACUUCAUUAUUGUUAUUCAAAGUAACCAGGGUCAUUGCUCUCUGGCUUGCCUUAAAGCCAGCAAAGGCAAUUGCCCAUCCCCGGGCUUUUGGUCUGGAAGAGACCGUUGGCAUCAUUAUUCAGUCCCCUCACUUUUCAGGUAAGGAGCUAAUGAAGACAACAUUCCCAGUGACACACGGCAAGUUACUGUGGUGUUGGGGUUUCAAUGUCAGGAGUCUCCUCUCUUCCUCUGGCAUUUCUGCUACUAUGCCAGGCUGGCUCCUUUCAGUAGACAUAACAUCAUUGAAAAAUACCACAAGUGCCCCUGUGGAGAGCAGAGCAGAUAGCCAUUAAAAUUACAAAAGCUUAUGCUUUUUGGCCCAACAUUUCCACUUCAAGGCAUUCAAUUCUUCCUAUAGAUACACUCACGUGAGGGUAAAAUGAUCUCUGUAUAACCUUAUUCUUUGCAAAACUUAUUGUAAUAAGGAAAUAUUGGAAGCAACCCAGAUGCCUACGGAUGGGAGGUGAGUUACAUAAAUUCGGGACCAUCCACACAAACAGAAUAUGUGCAGCUGUGAAAAGACUGGGCCACCUCUCCACGUGCAAUAGGAACAGCUCCAUCUUGCCAGGCGUGGUGGCUCACACCUGUAAUCCCAGUACUUUGGGAGGUGAAGGUGGGGCGGAUCCCUUGAGCCUAGGCAUUCCAGACCAGCCUGGGCAAUGCAGUGAUAUGCUCUCAUUGUGUAAAUAAAACAAAAUAAUACAUCAUUUGCU